Molecule: long non-coding RNA, 230 nt
Organism: Priapulus caudatus
Lineage: Eukaryota; Metazoa; Priapulida; Priapulimorpha; Priapulimorphida; Priapulidae
Exons: 3
Source: RefSeq, a predicted model, not a curated record
GAGGGCGCGUCAGAGAAGAGCUUAAUCGUGAAGAUUCGUCGGUGCGAUAAGUGAACAACUAAGACGUUCCUUCAAUAGGUGUGUGCAGCAUCCAGGAAAAGGCAGUAACGGAGGAACUUCAAGUUGCCACGGCUUACGACUUGACGUGGCGCAGUAACGUUGGUAAAACGGCUGUGGCAACCUGUCUAAUCUCCAAGAAUAAACACCAUCCUUAACUUGCAUAAUCCCGC